This 254-nucleotide ribosomal RNA is filed under the name uncultured bacterium. RNAcentral describes it as "partial 16S ribosomal RNA". It matches the Rfam family "Bacterial small subunit ribosomal RNA", at positions 524 to 776 of the family's 1533-position model. The record is from RNAcentral.
CACGUAGGCACCAAGCGUUGUCCGGAUUUAUUGGGCGUAAAGAGCUCGUAGGCGGUUCAGUAAGUCGGGUGUGAAAACUCAGGGCUCAACCCUGAGCGGCCACCCGAUACUGCUGUGACUUGAGUCCGGUAGGGGAGUGGGGAAUUCCUGGUGUAGCGGUGAAAUGCGCAGAUAUCAGGAGGAACACCGGUGGCGAAGGCGCCACUCUGGGCCGAGACUGACGCUGAGGAGCGAAAGCGUGGGGAGCGAACAGG